This 1680-nucleotide long non-coding RNA is filed under the name Triticum aestivum (bread wheat). Its description in RNAcentral is "long non-coding RNA (TAES_LNC000307)". The record is from RNAcentral. Lineage: Eukaryota; Viridiplantae; Streptophyta; Magnoliopsida; Poales; Poaceae.
GACCCCAACCACCCCCUCUGCCGGCGGCGCGACUUCCCCAGAUCCUCCGACGGCGCGACCUCCCCAGACCUCCGGUGGCGCGGCCUCCUAGAUCCUCGCCGCCGCGCCCAAGCUUGGGCGCCGACCUAGCAGCCCCGUGCGCCGCCCUGCCACUUCCCUGCACCGCCGCCUACGCACAACCGCCAUCGCGACCCACCUCCCCGCACCGCCACCUUCCCACCACCGCCGCCACCGGGAUCCACGCACCUCCACGCGUCGCCGGUGCCUGUGCUCGUGGGCGUGCCCGCGUUCUUCCCCGUUGACGAGAUCGAGCGAGUGCCUCCGGUUCCUCUGCCAAGUCUCCUCCCCCACGCGAUGUAGGCCUCCCCGAGGCGCCGCGCGCCAGAAACCCACGGCUGUGUCUCCCGCCCUCCGGCUCUUCCUGACUUCCCCCGGCGAGGCUCCACAGCCACCGCACCGCCUCAUCCCGGUGGGGCUCUUCCACCGUGGUGCCUAGGCCAUUCAAUGACAAAGCCCAGGUAAGUGGCGCAAUGUCCCUCGGAUCCCGCUGCAACCAUGCUAUUCUCGCCAGCGCACCAUCCAUGAUGGGUGCCAUUUUCUGUUUCUUCACUACAUAUGUGAAUCCUCUCCUCAAAUGGCCAGUUGAUGUAGACCGCGUCAUCUUAAAGGAAAACCAGUGACAAUCUGUCGAGUGAAACCGGUGCACUGUCAAGCAAACAUACCUGUGCAGCUGACAAUUUGGCCGGCGGCAGCAACAUUUCUUGGCACGUGGGUGUUGGUUUUGGCGGACAAGCAAGUAGCAACAAGCAGCUGCAGGCAAAAGGUACUAGCAUGUGAAAAAAUAAUUCUAGAUCAACAAUGUUUUACAUCCCGACCCCACUUGUUUAUAAUUUGAUGGUAGGCUGUUAGAUUUAGUCGACAGUUGAUGGUGUCAUGUCGUUCCUACUACUGAAUGAACUCUGAAUUUGUAUGGUCAAUGCUAUGAAUUAUUGAAGCGGAUGGACAGGUUUGUAGAAUACUCAACUAGAUGUGUUAGUCUUCAAACAUCAGCAGAGUUCGUUUUCAAACAGCAAUACCAAUGCACAUCUUCUACAAACAAACAAAAAGGGGAAAUAUGCUAGUCUUACUGCUUAUCUACUCUUAAUUUUGAACUAACAAAAAAUUAUUGAUAUGAACUGGCAGGUGUUUGAUUGGCUCCUCUGACUCCCUUCGCCAUGCCACUCACCUCGCGUCGCUGGACCACCACGGUCACAGGCAGAAUCCUUUCGUUCAGUAUCCAGCGCAAGCAAAUCUAAAUCUGCACACGCAAGCCUUCCGUUGCCGAGUCGGCCCUCCUUCUGCUGACUGCUUCUGCAGUAGCAAGUCACGCCACCUGCACCUGUUAUCACCACAAGACGUUCUACUACACCUAUAUGUUCUACUACAACUAAACGCCGGUGGUGGUGAAGUUCUACUAUGGCUAUACGCUACGUUCUACUACAGUUGUAUGUCAGCGACCAUGAAAAUUCUACUACAGAUGUACGCCAAGUUGUACUACAGUUAUACACCAGCCGUCACUGUUGGAAAUAUGCCCUAGAGGCAAUAAUAAAUGGUUAUUAUUAUAUUUCUUUGUUCAUGGUAAUUGUCUAUUGUUCAUGCUAUAAUUGUAUUGUCCGGAAAUCGUAAUACAUGUGUGAAUAC